GUUGUGUGUUAGUGCAUUAGGUCCCAGGCAGAGCCCCUGUCCCCAAAUGAUAGUGCUGGUGACCAUGUCCUAAACAGAAGGACUUUGGCCAGGAGUCUUUGCAGGUGUGAUUCAUCCACACUUCUGAGACUGGGAGAUUAUGCUGGAUUAUCUUGCUGGGUCACACACACCAUCACUGGUGUUCUUGAAGGACAGAGGGAGAAAAACUUGACACACAAGAGCGGGCCACGUGAGGACACCAGACAGAGACACGGAGCUACUGGCCUUGAAGUUUGGAGCGAUGUCGUCACAAGCCACGGAACACAAGCAGCCACCGGAGACUAGAGGGGGCAAGGAACACAUUUCCCUGCAGCCUCUGGGGAGAACACAGCCCUGCUGACAUUUGAUUUCAGCUGUGACAGUCAUUUCAGACUGUAGGCCUCAGAGUUGUUAUUAAAUGUUGUACAAACA
Peromyscus eremicus (cactus mouse) is the source of this 450-nucleotide long non-coding RNA. RefSeq lists it as uncharacterized. The transcript has 2 exons. Lineage: Eukaryota; Metazoa; Chordata; Mammalia; Rodentia; Cricetidae. The record is from RefSeq and is a predicted model, not a curated record.